Alnus glutinosa is the source of this 1166-nucleotide long non-coding RNA. RefSeq lists it as uncharacterized. The transcript is spliced from 4 exons. The record is from RefSeq and is a predicted model, not a curated record. Lineage: Eukaryota; Viridiplantae; Streptophyta; Magnoliopsida; Fagales; Betulaceae.
UUUUUUUUUUAAAGAAAAAAAAAAUAAAAAAAUUAAGAAAUUUCAAAAUUUGAAAACAAAAACCAAAAGAGCAUCCCAUUUUCUCACUUUUCUUCCCCGACCUUCCCCCCAAAUUUUCCCUCCCUCUCUCCAUCUACCCAAAAUCUUCCCACCGUCGACCACCGUUCGGAGCCCAGCACCGUCGUUCUUCCGGUUCCGGCGACUAGUUUCGCACGAGCCCGCCACCGUUCCGAGAUCGGUCGUUCUUCCGGUUCCGACGAGGUGUUUCGCACGAGCCCGCCACUGUUCCGAGCUCCGUCAUUCUUCCGGUUCCGACGAGGUGUAUCGCACGAGCCCGCCACGCACGAGCCCGCCACCGUUCGGAGCUCUGUCGUUCUUCCAGUUCCGGCUUUCCCCCAAAUACGUCAGUACCUGACAAAGAAUGGAAUAUAUGAUUUUUGGAACUGGUUUGACGAUCGCACCUGAUAGUUUUCCCGUUUUGAAGGGUUGGCUAAUUCUUUGGCGGCUCAUUUUCUUCUCAGAAAGAGGAGGAAGAGGAUGAGGAAGUUAUCAAACAUAGGCCCUAAGGGGGCGUUUUGGUGCACGGAGCUUGGGCAGGGGAAGCAAUCAGGAUAGUAGGGUCAACAAGUUGACUAGCUUAUUGCAUACAUGUGGAUAAUCUUCAGUCUGUUCUAGAUUUAUUUUAUCACAAUGAGGAUUGACAUUGGGUUGAUCAUUGUGUUGUGGAUGUGUCUCAAUAAGUUGAACCAGAGAUGUUGUUGUUAUUGCAAACUGCAUUGCUGCCAUGGGUUUGGUUUCACGGUCAGGGAGAUCUAAAGGAGACAGCCAUGACAACACAUUCACAGCCAGAGGCAUCUAGUGGUUCAGAUCGUGAACAAACCAACUCUUGUGGAUUUUUGAUAGAAUAACUAAUUGAUGCAAUGCUUCUCAAGGGCUCAUCUUAUUUUCCUUUGUAGAUCUUUUUUUUUUUUUUUUUUUCCACAAAAUGUAGAUAUGUAGCUGUAGCUUUACCUUUUUUAAUUUGUUACUGAUGGAAAAUCCCAACAUUUGUUCUCGUUUGGGCACCAGUUGUACUAGUCCUUGAUUGGAAUUUGGAUGAAAAUUGGAUUUUGUUUUGGCAACAAAUCUUUCUUGUUCUCAUGUAUAACAAUGAAUUUUGUUUUGGC